CCCUGGUUAGCUCAGUUGGUAGAACGCUCCACUGGAAAUGGAGAGGUGUCCCAGGUUGGAUACCCGGACCAGGCA
Molecule: non-coding RNA, 75 nt
Organism: Ixodes scapularis (black-legged tick)
Lineage: Eukaryota; Metazoa; Arthropoda; Arachnida; Ixodida; Ixodidae
Source: Rfam